GGAUGUCCCUGGAGGGCUCCACCCGCGGAGACGCCAAGUACAAAGCGCCCGGUGGCGGCGACCACGUUCUCGCCUCUGCUACGGGCAGGUCUCCCCGCAGCACCCCCCACUACGGAAGCCCCAUCAACACGUUCACCGUGCGGCCUGGGACCCGCCAUCCCAUCUCCUACGCCUACCCAGGGCUCCAUCCAGGGGCCCAUCGGAAUGCCCUAUCCUGAGCCCCCAGGGGCGGGCCUGGCAGCUCUCCUCCGAGGGUUCGAUCUGGGCACUGGUUUUCGUGGGGGUGGGAGGGGCGCAGCCGGACUCAGACACAGAGGAGCCUUUUGUUCCCGGAAGACAGAGAUGGACAGCCAGCAAGAAGCAGUGGCCAGAGGAAGAUCGGAGUGGGCCUCUGUUUCCCAGGGAGCUGUGGACGGCCUGCGGAUGGCGGGGAGGGGAAGGAGGGAGGAGAGGAGGCGGCUCCCAGGGCCUGGAGCAUGGCUUUCCGCUAUCAGGCACUAUCUGCCUGAGUAAGGCUCCUUUAAAGCAGGUUCUAAAAAGGAGGGGCGGGCAUUAAACCUGAAGGGGAACGGGUCUUGGGGUGGCUGUGAUUGCUGUCAGGCCCUCAUGAAGGGCUUGGCGGGUGUGGGUGAGGGCGCCACAGGUUGCUCUCUCCAGCCUCCAUCAGUUGCCACCCCCAGAGCUGAUUCCUGCGGCUCCUAGCAUAGGAGGUGGGACCGGGAAUGUGCCUACACGGCAUGUGGCGAAGGUGCCAGGCAGGGCUUUGCACUGAUUGGCGGAGGGAAGGGUCCCGGGGAAUUGAUGAUUCAUUUCUCUCUGGCCCUGGUCUUCAGCUCGGGAGCCCUGAAGGCAGAAGCCUGGCCAGUCCGGGUUGGGAGCAGAGAAUGAAGGCUGGCUUUUCUACUUGGACCCGGGUGCUGUGAUUUGGAGAUGGGGCUCCAGGAGCCUGAAGGCCGAGGGCUCAACACCAAAAGCCUUACCUAGCCGAGUCCUACCAGGGGUUUGGAGGGGGCAUCGUUCCCAGCUCCUCCUCCCAACCCCCGUGCUACAGGUCCCCGAUAUUAGUGAGGCCUUAAAAUGUGUCACCACAAUGCUGGGAGGUGUUGGAGAGCGGGAGGUGGCAGAGAGGGGAGGUGUGAUCUGAGAGAUCUUUGCCAACAGGCAUGUUUCUGAAAGUCAAGAGCGGUGGGGCUGGGCCAGUCCAGAGCAGGGACCCCUCGGUAGGGCAGCCAUGCAUCCUUCCCCUGAGCAGUCCUGGUGUGUGCCUGGUUUCCAGUGAAUCAGACCCCCUUCCGCUCUCAUUCAAGUCCUGGUGUGGAUGAUACGUGGUCGCCAAACAUGUCAGGAAGCAGCGUUCCUCGGUCUGUCCUCCCUGCCUUGGUGGGCCGGAUUCCUGGGACCAGGCCGAGGCAGGCUGCCUGGUGAGGAGGGAGGGCAGGGAGGGGCCCACCGCAGAGGUGCAAGCCUGGCGUGGGCAGCAAGGAAUCGGUUCCUUUUGGGGAAGGAUGGUGGACCUCUGUGAUUUGUGGUGACCUGCUGAGGUGCCAGCUUAGGGGGACAGCAGGUGAGCCACUCCAGGGAGAGAGCGCAGGAGAGGGCAGGCACCCUAAUGGGCAGGACCUUGUGUUCAAGAAGCGAACGCCGCCCGGCACUGUCACUGGCUCUGUAUGUAUGUGUCUUCCCUGUACAUGUUUUAUAAGAGUCCCCUAAUUUAUCUGCUGUGUGAGGGCUGAGGGGCGGGGCAUGGGCUCCCAGCUGUAGCUUGCUCCGGGUGGGUGGGAAGGACAGGUUCUCGCGUGGCUUGAGAAAUGCACAGGCCAGUGGGGCCUGGCCUCCUGCAGGUUGGUGACUCGGAGCUCACAGGGCGCGAGGAGAGGUUGGGAGAGCUGGGAGGGAAGGCUGAGCACAGGGUGGUGGCUGCACUGACGGGGGAGCCAUUCCGCUAGACCCAAACGUUCUCUCUGACCCUUCGGUUCCCUUGUUCUCCAAAUCCAUCAGGGGGAGGAGCCGGGCUGAAGCCUGGCAAGAACCAGCUGUCCUUCAGCAAGUCUCUGACUCUCCACCGUGGUUCCUCUGCACCAGGCAUGACCAUGAUAGCUACCUCAUAAGGCUGUUGUGAAGACGGGAGACAGUCCUGAGUUCAUUUAACAAGUUAUUGGAGUGACCACUAGGGGCUGGCACUGUGCUUAGCAUGGAGGGACAGCAGUCGGUACACUGACGUGACUCCUGCCCAUGGCAAGAUGGUAGCCGAGUGGAGGAGAGGGGAUGAAAGGAGCACACAGGAAGGAACGGAACGUGAGGAUAACGGAAGGUGAGGGAAAGCAGUGGAUUUAGUCUAACCAGGCAGUCAGGGAGGCCUCCUGAAGGGGUGACAUUUAUGCCGAUGUCGGCAAAGCAUCCGGCACAUGCCUGGCACUUGGUAGCUGCUCAAUAAAUGCAUCUUUGGGUGGUGACAACUUCA
Long non-coding RNA from Myotis davidii, 2461 nucleotides. RefSeq lists it as uncharacterized. Lineage: Eukaryota; Metazoa; Chordata; Mammalia; Chiroptera; Vespertilionidae. The transcript is spliced from 2 exons. The record is from RefSeq and is a predicted model, not a curated record.